This 70-nucleotide transfer RNA is filed under the name Dicaeum concolor. RNAcentral's name for it is "tRNA-Pro". It matches the Rfam family "tRNA". Rfam says of the family: Transfer RNA (tRNA) molecules are approximately 80 nucleotides in length. Their secondary structure includes four short double-helical elements and three loops (D, anti-codon, and T loops). Lineage: Eukaryota; Metazoa; Chordata; Aves; Passeriformes; Dicaeidae. The record is from RNAcentral.
CAGAAAGUAGUUUAAUUCAAAAUUCCAGCUUUGGGAGUUGGCGAUGAGGGUUUGAUUCCUUUCUUUCUGA